RNAcentral lists this ribosomal RNA (427 nucleotides) under uncultured bacterium. RNAcentral's name for it is "bacterial SSU rRNA". It matches the Rfam family "Bacterial small subunit ribosomal RNA", at positions 355 to 774 of the family's 1533-position model. The record is from RNAcentral.
CGGGGAAUUUUGGACAAUGGGGGCAACCCUGAUCCAGCCAUGCCGCGUGAGUGAAGAAGGCCUUCGGGUUGUAAAGCUCUUUCAGCCGGGAAGAAAUCGCAUCAGCUAAUACCUGGUGUGGAUGACGGUACCGGAAUAAGAAGCACCGGCUAACUACGCGCCAGCAGCCGCGGUAAUACGUAGGGUGCGAGCGUUAAUCGGAAUUACUGGGCGUAAAGCGUGCGCAGGCGGUUGUGUAAGACAGGCGUGAAAUCCCCGGGCUCAACCUGGGAACUGCGUUUGGGACUGCACAGCUAGAGUAUAGCAGAGGGGGGUGAGAUUCCGCGUGUAGCAGUGAAAUGCGUAGAGAUGUGGAGGAAAAGCGAUGGCGAAGGCAGCCCCCUGGGCCAAUACUGACGCUCAUGCACGAAGGCGUGGGUAGCAAACA